This is a non-coding RNA of Cordylochernes scorpioides, 91 nucleotides long. The record is from the annotation of a GenBank genome assembly. NCBI's taxonomy places the organism in Eukaryota, Metazoa, Arthropoda, Arachnida, Pseudoscorpiones, Chernetidae.
AGCAAUCUCUCGAAAUAUUUUGAGAAAUCGAACCGGGGACCUUGUGCGUGUGAAGCACACGUGAUAACCGCUAUACACCACGGAAACAUGC